GGGCACGCGGUGAAUGCCUAGGCGAUGGGAGGCGAUGAAGGACGUGGACAGCUGCGAUAAGCUGCGGGGAGCCGCUCACAGGCCGUGAUCCGCAGAUUUCCGAAUAGGGCAACCUACCCGACGCGAGAGCGACGGGAACACUCUGGCUGAAUACAUAGGCUAGAGCGAGCCAACCCGGGGAAGUGAAACAUCUCAGUACCCGGAGGAAAAGAAAACAACAGUGAUUCUCCUAGUAGCGGCGAGCGAACGGGGACGAAGGCCAAACCCGAAGUAGUGAUACUACGGGGGUUGUAGGGUCGGCGAUGUGGCAUUCUGAUCGAGAGUCGAACCGCUUGGAACGGCGGGCCAUAGAGGGUGACAGCCCCGUAGUCGAAUCGAGAGGGAGCCUAGCUGAUACCUGAGUACCGCAGGACACG
RNAcentral lists this ribosomal RNA (416 nucleotides) under uncultured bacterium. Its description in RNAcentral is "bacterial LSU rRNA". It matches the Rfam family "Bacterial large subunit ribosomal RNA", at positions 15 to 426 of the family's 2925-position model. The record is from RNAcentral.